UACGUAGGGGGCAAGCGUUGUCCGGAAUCAUUGGGCGUAAAGCGCGUGUAGGCGGUUCGGUAAGUCUGCUGUGAAAGUCCAGGGCUCAACCCUGGGAUGCCGGUGGAUACUGUCGGACUAGAGUACGGAAGAGGCGAGUGGAAUUCCCGGUGUAGCGGUGAAAUGCGCAGAUAUCGGGAGGAACACCAAUUGCGAAGGCAGCUCGCUGGGACGUUACUGACGCUGAGACGCGAAGGCGUGGGGAGCAAACAGG
This 253-nucleotide ribosomal RNA is filed under the name uncultured bacterium. RNAcentral's name for it is "partial 16S ribosomal RNA". It matches the Rfam family "Bacterial small subunit ribosomal RNA", at positions 524 to 776 of the family's 1533-position model. The record is from RNAcentral.